GAGCUGAGGAGAUCCAGCCCCUCUCCCAUGGCCCCUUUCUUUCUAUUUUAAUCACAGGGAGCUUUCAGAAGGCUUAGUCAGUCUUUCUCCUCUCUCCUGUCCCUCAUAGACGUCCAUCGUCUGCUCCGUGCUUUCUCAUUUCCUUUCUACAGCAAUUGUCUUCCGGCAGACUGCCCAGUCUUUCACUCGUAUCAAAGCGGAAGGGCUUCCCUGCAGAGGUCGAAGCCAAGCGGCAGGCAUGUCAAGAGUGGAGUGACUAUACCUCAAGAUUAGGCCAGAGGAAUGUGAGGGUUACACCCUCUGGACUGAAUUUUACAUCUGAAGUUGGAAGAUAUAUAGAGAAUGAAACCCAAGACUGCGAGACUCGUCACUGAGACAUUCCUGGAGGAAAAAGAUUGACAGGCCGUCGUUUAUUUGUGCCGGCUGACGGCCAGAGAAUCGUGUGAGCGAAGCUGGUUUAGAAUAGCGGCCUCAGCCUCUACCCCAGGUAGAGUUACAGCUGGAUAUAUGAAGAGUGAGCCUCCCUCUCCAACUCUCUCAGUAUCUGCGGUUUCCCCGCUCUGCAGAAAACGCCGUCUCUUGAACAUUCCUCACAUGUUUUUCUUUCACGGAAAGCAUGCUAAUUUGUCUUUCACCCUAAACCACAAAAAUAUUUUCUUGGCAAAGGAUGCAAGUUUUUUUUAUUUUUUUAUGUGGACAUCUGUUUUUAGAAGGGGCUGAGAGGACGGGAGGAAAAUCAACAGGGAGAGCGACCUUAUCAGCGUCUGGAGAUCUGCUGCUGUGACUGUGACAUCAUUUCCUGCCCCGGCCCGGGGCCUGUCAAGAUUAGGAGGCCCUCAGGCUUGGGAUUCAGAAACUUGGUUGUUUCUUUCAACAAACAAAAGGCAAAGAACACCAGGUUUCUUCCCCCGUUGGUAUCUGUCUACACCACAGAUGUGUUUUUGUGUGAGGUAUUUCUGGUUUACAGAGAGGGUUUGAGGCGUGUUUUGAGUAGCGUGUCAGUCUGUGCAGCACUUAAAACAAGAGUAGGGUUCUGUGGAGAAAGGCUGUACACUCGAUGACAUUCCAGCAGGGUCAGAGGGAAUCUAUGCAUGUGUGUGCAUGUGUGUACUCGUCUUUCAUUGUUCAUUCAGGUGCUGUCGAGUGAUGCAUGUCAUGGCAUGUUCCCCAAAUGUUGCUUGCUUUUAAUUGUCCAACCAUCAGUGUAUUGGGUUCUCUGUAUCAUGCUCCAUUUUUAUUGCUAAUAAAAGACGACAUAGAGACGCCCUCAA
This is a long non-coding RNA of Pleuronectes platessa (European plaice), 1271 nucleotides long. RefSeq lists it as uncharacterized. NCBI's taxonomy places the organism in Eukaryota, Metazoa, Chordata, Actinopteri, Pleuronectiformes, Pleuronectidae. The record is from RefSeq and is a predicted model, not a curated record. The transcript has 4 exons.